This 73-nucleotide transfer RNA is filed under the name Gastrotheca fissipes (Igaracu marsupial frog). Its description in RNAcentral is "tRNA-Leu". It matches the Rfam family "tRNA". Rfam says of the family: Transfer RNA (tRNA) molecules are approximately 80 nucleotides in length. Their secondary structure includes four short double-helical elements and three loops (D, anti-codon, and T loops). Further hydrogen bonds mediate the characteristic L-shaped molecular structure. tRNAs have two regions of fundamental functional importance: the anti-codon, which is responsible for specific mRNA codon recognition, and the 3' end, to which the tRNAs corresponding amino acid is attached (by aminoacyl-tRNA synthetases). tRNAs cope with the degeneracy of the genetic code in two manners: having more than one tRNA (with a specific anti-codon) for a particular amino acid; and 'wobble' base-pairing, i.e. permitting non-standard base-pairing at the 3rd anti-codon position. Lineage: Eukaryota; Metazoa; Chordata; Amphibia; Anura; Hemiphractidae. The record is from RNAcentral.
GUUAAUGUAGCAGAACCCGGCACUGCAGAAGACCUAAGCCCUUUUUAUAGAGGUUCAAAUCCUCUCAUUAACU